UCAAUAAGCGGAGGAAAAGAAACCAACAAGGAUUGCCCUAGUAACGGCGAGUGAAGCGGCAACAGCUCAGAUUUGAAAUCUGGCGUCUUUGGCGUCCGAGUUGUAAUCUGUAGAGGAUGCUUUUGGGUAGCCACCGGUCUAAGUCCCCUGGAACGGGGCGUCACAGAGGGUGAGAAUCCCGUAUGUGACCGGAAGGGCACCCUCCACAUAGCUCCUUCGACGAGUCGAGUUGUUUGGGAAUGCAGCUCUAAAUGGGAGGUAAAUUCCUUCUAAAGCUAAAUACCGGCCAGAGACCGAUAGCGCACAAGUAGAGUGAUCGAAAGAUGAAAAGCACUUUGGAAAGAGAGUUAAAAAGCACGUGAAAUUGUUGAAAGGGAAGCGCUUGCAACCAGACUUGUUGGCGGUGUUCCGCCGGUCUUCUGACCGGUUCACUCACCGUCUGCAGGCCAGCAUCAUCUGGGGCCGCCGGAUAAAAGCGAGGGGAAUGUGGCUCCCCCGGGAGUGUUAUAGCCCCUCGUGCAAUACGGCGAGUCUCGGGUGAGGUCCGCGCUUCGGCUAGGAUGCUGGCGUAAUGGUCGUAAGCGGCCCGUCUUGAAACACGGACCAAGGAGUCUAACAUCUAUGCGAGUGUUCGGGUGUCAAACCCCUACGCGUAAUGAAAGUGAACGGAGGUGGGAGCCUUUGGGUGCACCAUCGACCGAUCCUGAUGUCUUCGGAUGGAUUUGAGUAAGAGCAUAGCUGUUGGGACCCGAAAGAUGGUGAACUAUGCCUGGAUAGGGUGAAGCCAGAGGAAACUCUGGUGGAGGCUCGCAGCGGUUCUGACGUGCAAAUCGAUCGUCAAAUUUGGGUAUAGGGGCG
This 858-nucleotide ribosomal RNA is filed under the name Capnodium sp. RNAcentral describes it as "partial large subunit ribosomal RNA". It matches the Rfam family "Eukaryotic large subunit ribosomal RNA", at positions 43 to 925 of the family's 3401-position model. The record is from RNAcentral. Lineage: Eukaryota; Fungi; Ascomycota; Dothideomycetes; Capnodiales; Capnodiaceae.